GCCCCGAAUACUAGCUAGCGUUGUUAGCUAAGUUAACCGGUCCGCGCUAGCUUCGUCUAUGUUGCACGGAGUGGGACCUGUUGCGUCACAACACCCAUGCAGUGUUUUGUCUGAAGAUUCCCCCUCUCUGAUGAACAGGGAAACUUUUUUCCAAGUCCCAAAAAAAAAUUGGAUACUGCGACCUAGACCGGAGGGACAAGAUGGACAGUUAUCCACUGAGCACUAGGGGGGAGCGAGACGACCACCAUUCAACUUGAAGAAAGUCAUAUAUCCAUUCCAAUGGCUCCGAAGCUGUUCAGUUAAGGGAGCUGCCCUUCUGGAAGACUUUGGAGCAAAGGUCACAUGGGUAGACGCCGUUUUCCAGCCGCCGCUUCUUCAUCAGCGCAGCUGAGUCCGAGUCGUUCUGCUCCUCCACCGUGGAGACGGCGUCAGAGCUGCUCUCCAGCCUCUUUCCCUGCUGUAAACGGAAAAAAAUGGCAUUCAUCGUUGUGGUCAAAUACUGUAAUGGCAUGUGUUGGGUGAGGGCAAUAAACCUAAAAGUAAA
Long non-coding RNA from Perca flavescens (yellow perch), 544 nucleotides. RefSeq lists it as uncharacterized. The transcript has 3 exons. The record is from RefSeq and is a predicted model, not a curated record. Lineage: Eukaryota; Metazoa; Chordata; Actinopteri; Perciformes; Percidae.